AUGAAAACUAAUCUUAGCGGAGCUCGUCUGGUUGUGCUCCCCGCUUGCCCGGCUCCGCACUGGCCAUGUCCGGCGGACAACUGUGCUCCUCAGAGUGUUGAGACUGCCGUGGACCUGCGGUGCACGAGCUGGAGGACGGCGGGGGAGGCCAACAACCUGGCGCCAUGGGCCGUCGUGCCGCAGGACUGCGUGUCGCACGUGCACGCAUACCUCACUGGCCCCGCCUACCGCUUCGACCUCGACCUCGUCGCGGGUAGGCCUCCGCCUACGCCCGCGCCGCCGCCGCCACCGGCGCCUGGGUCUUCGACAUCGACGAGACGCUGCUCUCCAACCUUCCCUACUACGCGCAGCACGGAUACGGGUGGGCGACCCACGUUGUCACAUUCCGAGAUCGCGGGCCUGCUAUUAACGCACACGGUUAAUUUGUUGUUUGAUUGCAGGCUGGAGCUGUUCGACCACCGGGAGUUCGACCGGUGGGUGGAGACGGGGGAGGCGCCGGUGAUCCCCUCCAGCCUCCGCCUCUACAGGGAGGUCCGCGACCUCGGCUUCAAGACCUUCCUGCUCACCAGCCGCAGCGAGGCCCACGAGGGUAGAAAGAGCUGCCGUGGACCUGCUAUGUAUGCCAUCAUAAAAGCCUUCUGUGUUGCUUUUGUCAUGACAUUCUUCUUUGUAUUUGCCGCUGUGCCAGUCAACUGGAAUAACCUUGCAGUUUGGUUCCGCAGAGUGGACCAGUUUGACACGAUUGACUUGUCGGACUACGAGAUUGUCAAGCUUGACAACUUCCCUUUCAUGAAUCGCCCAGCGAGCCCGCACCUGAUUACAACUUACAAUGAGAGGGAGCAGGUGACGCCCAGGGAGCUCAACAUCCGAGUCCCGGCCAUCCUUCACAGCAAGGACGAGGACGGCGUCAAGGGCUGCCGCGUCGCCGGAGCCGUCAACAACUACACCUCCCAGCUCCUCACCUACGGAUCAUCAUCACAAUCGCCAUCUUGUAAAUCUUCCCGCCAAUAUAACCUGACGGAAGCGCUCUUGUUUCUCUCACAUUUCAUCGGCGACAUCCACAAGAUUGAUGAAGAAUCCGUCUGGGGACGAGCCACCGACACCCACGAUGAUGCAGUUGCGUCGCCCGAACUGAUGCCCCAUACUGGGCGCCAGAGGAUGCGCCUUACCGACGACUGCCGCAUCCGGUGCCCGGUGCCUUGCACGGCGGGCACGCCGUGCCAUGGCCUCGUGGGACGAUGGUGCAUCCCAAAUAUCGGGGCGCCAACGGAGGUGUUGCAUGUCCGUCAGCGCGUUCGGGCGUCAGGCGGACCGCACGGCCUCCGGCGAGGCAGCUACGACUGGCCUAGCGCCGGAUCCAUGCGCUAUUUGGGCAGAUGCAAUGGAUUCUCGACGGAUGGAGUCCGAGCGCAGCCGUGCACGGGCCUCCUCCAGGGCAUGGUGGAGCGUAAGGUGGACGGUCAUCUCCUCCUCGGUCCCGUAUGUGAUGAGUUCAGGGUCGACGGAUCUAGAGCGGAAGGACUCAGAUCCGCUGCCCGUCAUGCCAGAUCCAGCCGAAAGAAGCCAAAGAUGAGCAUGGAUGGCGGAGGGGAUUGGAUGGAAGGGAAGUGA
RNAcentral lists this ribosomal RNA (1611 nucleotides) under Triticum aestivum (bread wheat). RNAcentral's name for it is "partial small subunit ribosomal RNA". Lineage: Eukaryota; Viridiplantae; Streptophyta; Magnoliopsida; Poales; Poaceae. The record is from RNAcentral.